This is a non-coding RNA of Anas platyrhynchos (mallard), 373 nucleotides long. NCBI's taxonomy places the organism in Eukaryota, Metazoa, Chordata, Aves, Anseriformes, Anatidae. The record is from RefSeq and is a predicted model, not a curated record.
UGGGCAUCGGACAGCAGGCUUCACUUUCCUGUUUCUCUCUCCCAUCCCAGAGAAGGAGGAGGGGAGACUAAUACACUCGGUUAUACAAGGAAUGCAAAUAUCUGCGGUACCUGUUGACCCAGCACCAGGGAAAGAGAAAACCCACUCCCUGAUGAUGAUAAAAACAAACAAAGAUCCAAAAUUGGUAUCAGUUGGUAUCAAUUUGGCAAGUAUUGACUUGAUUAGAAAGGAUAACACGAAUCAAUGCCAUGAAAAAGGAGAUGGGGGAUUGUGAGAUAUGUUCGUCUGAUUCGUGUCAGUAUGGAACAAUGCUAGGGCCGCAUGGUAUGAUGAACGUGACCUUCUGUCUUACAUACCCUUGUAUAACCACAAG